This 760-nucleotide ribosomal RNA is filed under the name uncultured bacterium. Its description in RNAcentral is "bacterial SSU rRNA". It matches the Rfam family "Bacterial small subunit ribosomal RNA", at positions 60 to 766 of the family's 1533-position model. The record is from RNAcentral.
AGUCGAACGAGGUGGCCCACAGAAUUUGAUAGAAACUUUGAGAGCUUGCUCGAGAAGUGGAAAGAGAAGGACGUGGAAUUUCCACCUAGUGGCAAACGGGUGAGUAACACGUGGGUUACCUACCUCUUAGAUGGGGAUACCAAUUGGAAACGAUUGUUAAUACCGAAUGUGAUCUACGGAUUAAAGGAAGCCUUUAAAGCUUCGCUAAGAGAUGGGCCUGCGGUGCAUUAGAUAGUUGGUGGGGUAAGAGCCUACCAAGUCAACGAUGCAUAGCUGAACUGAGAGGUUGAUCGGCCACACUGGGACUGAGACACGGCCCAGACUCCUACGGGAGACAGCAGUUAGGAAUAUUCGUCAAUGGGGGAAACCCUGAACGAGCAAUGCCGCGUGAACGAUGACGGUCCUCUGGAUUGUAAAGUUCUGUUGUUUGGGAAGAACGGCUCUAAUAGGAAAUGAUUAGAGAUUGACUGUACCAUUCAAGAAAGCCACGGCUAACUACGUGCCAGCAGCCGCGGUAAUACGUAGGUGGCGAGCGUUAUCCGGAUUUAUUGGGCGUAAAGCGUCCGCAGCCGGUUUAUUAAGUAUAGAAUAGAACUUCGGGGCUCAACCCCGUCUCGUUCUAUAAACUGAUAGACUAGAGUGUGGUAGAGGCAAGUGGAAUUUCUAGUGUAGCGGUAGAAUGCGUAGAUAUUAGAAGGAACACCAGUGGCGAAGGCGACUUGCUGGGCCAUCACUGACGGUCAGGGACGAAAGCGUGGGG